UACGUAGGGUGCAAGCGUUAAUCGGAAUACUGGGCGUAAAGCGUGCGCAGGCGGUGAUGUAAGACAGAUGUGAAAUCCCCGGGCUCAACCUGGGAACUGCAUUUGUGACUGCAUCGCUGGAGUGCGGCAGAGGGGGAUGGAAUUCCGCGUGUAGCAGUGAAAUGCGUAGAUAUGCGGAGGAACACCGAUGGCGAAGGCAAUCCCCUCG
This 208-nucleotide ribosomal RNA is filed under the name uncultured bacterium. Its description in RNAcentral is "partial 16S ribosomal RNA". It matches the Rfam family "Bacterial small subunit ribosomal RNA", at positions 524 to 732 of the family's 1533-position model. The record is from RNAcentral.